GAUGAACGCUGGCGGCGUGCCUAAUACAUGCAAGUCGAGCGAUCAGAGGCGGUGCUUGCCCCACUGGCGUUAGCGGCGGAAGGGUGAGUAACGCGUGUGUAACCUGCCUGUGAGACAGGGAGAACAUGGGGAAACAAGAGCUAAUACCGGAUAAGAAAUUGAACCGCAGGGUUGAAUGGUGAAAGACGCCUUUGCUGUUACUAAUAGAUGAAUCCGGGUCGCAUUAGUUAGUUGGUAAGGUAAAGGCUUACCAAGGCAACGUAGCGUAGCCGACCUGAGAGGGUGAUCGGCCACACUGGAACUGAGACACGGUCCAGACUCCUACGGGAGGCAGCAGUAGGGAAUCUUCGGCAAUGGGCGAAAGCCUGACGGAGCAACGCCGCGUGAGUGAUGAAGGUCUUCGGAUCGUAAAACUCUGUUAUUAGGGAAGAACAAGUGUGUAAGUAAAUAUGCACGUCUUGACGGUACCUAAUCAAAAAGCCACGGCUAACUACGUG
RNAcentral lists this ribosomal RNA (497 nucleotides) under uncultured bacterium. Its description in RNAcentral is "partial 16S ribosomal RNA". It matches the Rfam family "Bacterial small subunit ribosomal RNA", at positions 28 to 507 of the family's 1533-position model. The record is from RNAcentral.